Molecule: ribosomal RNA, 245 nt
Filed under: uncultured bacterium
Lineage: Bacteria
Description: partial 16S ribosomal RNA
Rfam family: Bacterial small subunit ribosomal RNA
Source: RNAcentral
GACGAAGGUGGCAAGCGUUGCUCGGAAUCACUGGGCUUAAAGCGGGCGUAGGCGGUCCGGCAAGUCGGGUGUGAAAACCCUUGGCUCAACCAAGGAACUGCACCCGAUACUACCGGGCUUGAGGCGUCUAGGGGCGACUGGAACUCUCGGUGGAGCGGUGAAAUGCGUAGAUAUCGAGAGGAACGCCAAUGGUGAAGACAGGUCGCUAGGGACGUCCUGACGCUGAGGCCCGAAAGCUAGGGGAG